This 1115-nucleotide long non-coding RNA is filed under the name Ornithorhynchus anatinus (platypus). Its description in RNAcentral is "lncRNA (ENSOANG00000050390.1)". The record is from RNAcentral. Lineage: Eukaryota; Metazoa; Chordata; Mammalia; Monotremata; Ornithorhynchidae.
ACGCACACAGUUUGGGAGAACAUGAGUGUGAUUAUGACAUAAUAAGAAUUAUGGUAUUUGUUAAGCGCUCACUAUGUGCCAAGCACUGUUUGAAGCACUGGGGUAGAUGCAGAGUAAUCAGGUUGUCCCUCCUGGGGCUUACAGUCUCCAUCCCCAUUUUACAGAUGAGGUAACUGAGGCACAGAGAAGUUAAGAGACUUGCCCAAGGUCAUACAGCAGACAAGUGGCGAAGCUGGAAUUGGAACCCAUGACCUCUCUGCCACGCCCUCUGACUCCCAAGCCCGUGCUCUUGCCACUAGGCCAUGCUGUUUGUCCCCCAGCACGUGAAGGUGGACUCACAGAAGCAGGACACGGCUACAGACAGGGACACCCAUGCACAGCUCCCUGGGCCCGGGCAGCUGAAGCCCACGGAUUUCAAUCUCCUGGAGAAAACUGUGAAUCUCCUUAGGGCCGGGAGAGACUCAGUCCUUCAUCUCAGCCCCAAUCCUACCCUUUCCCAAAUGUUGACUGAGAUCAGAACCCACCCCUGAGGGUGCCGAGUUCUUGGUUCAGUUCGGUUCUGGGCCAGGGGUGUGUUGGGCAUCAGCCCAGAUCCCCAGACCUCCCGCAUUUUCCCCCUGCCAGAGGUGGCUCGGGUGAUCAAGUGAAGGAUGAGUAGGAGGUGGGGGAAGACCAGGGGAGACGUCUGAGAACUUCCCUCUAGACCGGAAGCAACUUGUGGACAAGGAAUGUGUCUACCCACUCUGUUCUCCCAAGCUCUUACUGCAGUGGUCUGCACCCAGUAAGCACUCAACAAAUACCACUGAUUGAUUAAUUGAUUGAUGAGGGGAUUGUACAGUAGUGGCACCUUUUUAUUAAAGAUAAUUGUGGUAUUUGUUAAAUACUGGGUGUUGAGCACUUUACUAAGCUCUAGAGAAGAUAUGAGGUAAUUAGGUCGGACAUAAUUAUCAUAUGUAGGAGGUAUUGAAUCCCGAUUUUACAGAUGAGGAACCUAAGGCCCAGAGAAGUUGAGCGACUUGUCUGGGAUCUCAUAGCAGUGCUGGGAUUAGAACUCAGGUCCUCUGGCUUUCAUGGUUUUUCCACGAGCCUGCAGGGCUUCUCAUUUUUUGAAUGCC